This 254-nucleotide ribosomal RNA is filed under the name uncultured bacterium. Its description in RNAcentral is "partial 16S ribosomal RNA". It matches the Rfam family "Bacterial small subunit ribosomal RNA", at positions 524 to 776 of the family's 1533-position model. The record is from RNAcentral.
UACGGAGGAUCCAAGCGUUAUCCGGAAUUACUGGGCGUAAAGAGUUGCGUAGGUGGCAUGGAAAGCGAACAGUGAAAGCGUGCGGCUCAACCGCAUAUACAUUGCUCGAACUACCAAGCUAGAGAGUGAGAGAGGUAGCUGGAAUUCCUAGUGUAGGGGUAAAAUCCGUUGAUAUUAGGAGGAACACCGAUGGCGUAAGCAGGCUACUGGCUCAUUUCUGACACUCAGGCACGAAAGCGUGGGGAGCAAACGGG